UACCAGCUCUCCGAGUGGUAGGGAUGUUUAUUGGGCUUAAAGCGUCCGUAGCCGGCUUAGCAAGUCUCCUGUUAAAUUCAGCGACCUAAUCGUUGAGCCGCGGGAGAUACUACUAGGCUAGGAGGCGGGAGAGGUCAACGGUACUUCCGGGGUAGGGGUGAGAUCCUAUAAUCCCGGGAGGACCACCAGUGGCGAAGGCUGUUGACUAGAACGCGCUCGACGGUGAGGGACGAAAGCUGGGGGAGCGAACCGGAUUAGAUACCCGGGUAGUCCCAGCUGUAAACGAUGCGAGCUAGGUGUUGGGGUGGCUACGUGCCACUUCAGUGCCGCAGGGAAGCCAUUAAGCUCGCCGCCUGGGGAGUACGGCCGCAAGGCUGAAACUUAAAGGAAUUGGCGGGGGAGCACCACAAGGCGUGAAGCUUGCGGUUC
RNAcentral lists this ribosomal RNA (429 nucleotides) under uncultured archaeon. RNAcentral's name for it is "bacterial SSU rRNA". It matches the Rfam family "Archaeal small subunit ribosomal RNA", at positions 474 to 903 of the family's 1478-position model. The record is from RNAcentral.